GGAGAGAUGGCUCAGUGGUUAAGAGCACUGACUGAUGUCCCAGAGGACCCGGGUUCCAUUCCCAGCUUCUGCA
Molecule: transfer RNA, 73 nt
Filed under: Neotoma lepida (desert woodrat)
Lineage: Eukaryota; Metazoa; Chordata; Mammalia; Rodentia; Cricetidae
Rfam family: tRNA
About the family: Transfer RNA (tRNA) molecules are approximately 80 nucleotides in length. Their secondary structure includes four short double-helical elements and three loops (D, anti-codon, and T loops).
Source: Rfam by way of RNAcentral